UACAGAGGUCUCAAGCGUUGUUCGGAUUCAUUGGGCGUAAAGGGUGUGUAGGUGGCGCGCUAAGUCGGGUGUGAAAUUUCGGAGCUUAACUCCGAAACUGCAUUCGAUACUGGCGUGCUUGAGGACUGGAGAGGAGACUGGAAUUCAUGGUGUAGCAGUGAAAUGCGUAGAGAUCAUGAGGAAGACCAGUGGCGAAGGCGGGUCUCUGGACAGUUCCUGACACUGAGACACGAAGGCCCGGGGAGCAAACGGG
RNAcentral lists this ribosomal RNA (253 nucleotides) under uncultured bacterium. RNAcentral describes it as "partial 16S ribosomal RNA". It matches the Rfam family "Bacterial small subunit ribosomal RNA", at positions 524 to 776 of the family's 1533-position model. The record is from RNAcentral.